RNAcentral lists this long non-coding RNA (1224 nucleotides) under Sorghum bicolor (sorghum). RNAcentral's name for it is "long non-coding RNA (SBIC_LNC005010)". The record is from RNAcentral. Lineage: Eukaryota; Viridiplantae; Streptophyta; Magnoliopsida; Poales; Poaceae.
ACAUGCUUUUACAUAAAAAUUCUUCCAGAUUAAAGUGAAGUGUUAUGGAGUUUAGUACCUGCACUUAAAUCUUAAGUAAUCAAAAGACAAAAUAGUUAAGUCAAGCACUAUCCCUCUUGUCUAUACUUCACCUUUGUUCUAGAGUUUUUCAUAAGUUUUCAAAAUAAAACUCAGAGUUCCCAGCAAUGAUUCUCUCAAGUCUCUCUAUAUGUGGUAUUUGUGGAUCCUUACCAUAAUGUCACUUACCUAUCGCUAAUAGAAUAAUUAAGUGGAGCUCAUAGGAGUGGAAAACAGCUCAUACAUAUGUUGUCUAAUCGAGCCAUGGAUCCAAAGGAACUCAGCAUAUAAUUAAAUCAAGAUGUGCAUGUGUGAUGGAGUAAAUGAUAGUGAAAAUGCAUAAGUGAUAAUAAAACUUAGUUCUCAUUGCUCCUCAUAUUGCUAUCUCUCCUCUUCUUUGAUCUUUGCUUUGGGAGAACAUGGGCUAUCUUUUCUUUCUUUUUCUCUUCUUCUUUUUUUUUCUUCAGGUGGGUAGUAGAUACCCCUAAUUCUACUGUCGGACACUUGUCCAUUUUUUCCGCUCAAGUGGGCAUCUUUGUACCCCUAAUUCUACUUCGGACACUUGUCCAUUUUUACAUCUCGUCUCACUCUUUUUCUUUCUUUAUCGAGGUUCCGAGCACUUGCCCCUUUUUAUUUCCUCGUAUAUUUUUGCAUAACCCAUGCCUCUUCUGCAUUGAAUCUUUUUAGAGAGAGAAAAUAACAAUACUCGGGACAGUGAGUGAUAAUAUUUUUAGCAAUUUUAAAUGAUUGAUGAUGAAUGCUGUGGUAGAUGUGUGCAAGUGAAUAUCUUAAUUUAACCACAUGAAAAGCUCCUAAGGGUCUACACAGCUCGAUCAAACUCAAUGUAAAUAUAGUAAAAGAUGUUAUAGCAAGUAUGGCUGUGGUAGGUAGUUUUGUAUACUAGGAACUCAUCAUGUGAUUUGUAAGUUUUCAAAAAUAAAUCUCCAGAACUUAGUGUAGUAGAAACAAGAUAAACAGCAGCUCAACUUUAUAUCAUGCCUUUCUCUUACCUAGACUUUAGUUUUAUGCUUCCCAAAGAUAGUAAUUUCAGUUUUAGUAAUUCCUGGAAGAACUCUAAUAUAAAAUCUAGGUACUUGUAAGUAAGCAAACAGAGCAACUGUUCAUCAUUUCCAUCAUGCAUAUUUUUGGUCUUUUUAUUUUUUCUAG